GUUUUGAGCAGCAUGAUCAUGAUGUAGAAACUUGCUUUACAUUGAUUUCAGUAGCCUUACACCGGUAAAACCAAUCGAGGAGUGUUCCAGUGGAUCUAUCAGGAGAAUAUUAUACGAAGCUAUAUUGUCCAGAAAAGAUUGAUCAUACAGAUCGCAAACCUGCCAAAUGAUCCAGCAUCCUUUGGUGCUUGGGCAACUUCGCCCUAAGACACUACUUGGUGGAAGCUGACGUACUACUUUGCACCAAGGGAGAGGAAACUUCCUGGAGAUCUUGUAGCAGCAGCCGCAGGGGCUUCUCCAUGUCGAGCAGGGCUGGAAGAUGUGGACUGCCCAGCAACCUCGUUGACCACGGUACGUUCAUAUCGUUUAUUGGGUCACCAGAUAUCCAAGUGACUGCCAUCGUACAAUUUGAGUGGGUUCAAGACAUCACAGUAACUCAGAACAAAGGUAGUUCAACUCCAUCAUGUUUCAUAAGCCAAGACUCUGCAUCUCCUGUCUGUUCUCCCUGUUCUUGUGAUUUUUUUGCAACAAAUUCAACCAAAUUAGAUCGUGAGUUUGAUCCAGAAUACGGAAGGAAAGCUAAUGUCCACUACAUUAGCAUGCAUGUUCUGAUCUGCACACUGAUCGUUUGUUCCAUGCUGCUGCUGCUGUUGCUGUUUUCUGAUCGAUUCAGCCUGGUUUUUCUUGAGCUUCUCAUACUUCCUUUGCCUCAGAGCCUUUGCAACUUCUGGCAAAGAAUCUGAGAUCAGAGAGCCAAGCAAGGAAUCGGGAAAUGGUAGAGAAGCAGUGCGGAUGGAACCUUGGGAGGUGAUGAGCCGGUAAACUUGGCCGAGCAGGAGCAUGUCCCUGGGCUUGAGCAGCCGCACGCGGGUGAACCGCACGGUGCCGGCACCGCCGCCGCCGCCGUCCGUCUUCGUCUCCGAGACGUAGAGGGUGACGAGGGCGACGUGGUAGCCCGGGUUGCUCUUCAUGACAUCCGCCGCGCUCGUCGGCCAGUAAAGCCGCUCCACCCGCCCGCCGGGGUGCUGGAUCACCACCGUGGCCACCUCCGCUGCCUGGCAAUUCCCCAUCUUUCUCCUCUCCCUCCUUUAUCUUCACCGAUGGUUGUUUGUGUUGUUGAUAUACAGGAACGGAAGAGGAGGAAAAGAACGUUGCAGAGAAGAAAGCAGCCUUCAACCAACUGCAGCUGCUCGUGGGUGGCCUUCUUUAAUGGGAUGACAGAGAGUGGGCGUAUGGGGGCGGUAAAGACGAUGGUAGGCGUGGUUUUACGUUGCAGGUCAGGGAUGGGGAUGAGGACAGGGUUAUCAUUUUACUGCAAGCGGGCAGCAGCGCUCAGGGGCGUGAGAUUCUUCCUGUCAUGGGAGUGUGUGCGCGAGGCGAGGGGGUGAGAGGGGCCACAUUACCAAGACGAAGACACUGAAUCACUGACAGAGAAGAAACGUCAUUUGCCUCUUUCUGCCCACCGAGCCAUGGGAUGGGACUUUUGGGUCGUCCUGGGGGCAAAAAGCUUCUGCCAUUCUGUGUUCAUGGCCCACUGUUACCUCUCUUAUCCUCCUGGUGCUGGCUCCGGGACAUGAGGUGAACAGUAGUGACUACUCGUCGUUGCCCUCUGGCAUCCACUAGCAGUAUCGCAGGACGUGGUUUUUGUCUCA
Long non-coding RNA from Musa acuminata AAA Group (dessert banana), 1652 nucleotides. RefSeq lists it as uncharacterized. Lineage: Eukaryota; Viridiplantae; Streptophyta; Magnoliopsida; Zingiberales; Musaceae. The record is from RefSeq and is a predicted model, not a curated record. The transcript is spliced from 4 exons.